This is a long non-coding RNA of Nilaparvata lugens (brown planthopper), 2050 nucleotides long. RefSeq lists it as uncharacterized. Lineage: Eukaryota; Metazoa; Arthropoda; Insecta; Hemiptera; Delphacidae. The record is from RefSeq and is a predicted model, not a curated record. The transcript is spliced from 3 exons.
UAUACAAAUUUAAUUUAUUACAGGCUAUAUGCUUUUGAUCUGGUUGGCAUUGGCAAUCUACAGUAUCACGUCACAAUUUCUCAUUCUUUGGUUCAAGUUAACCUAACUCCUGCUAUUUCUACAUUUAAAGGUAUCUAUCAGCUAGGGCAUAUUAAAAAUCAAAUUUGGUGACAUGAGGUGACACUCCAAUAUUAAAUUUAUUUAGGCAGAGCUUUUGGACAUGUAGAUUGGUUCCUCCAGCUGAAUUUGUUAGUGGCUUCCAGUGGAGUCUUGCGCCUUCAAUUCGUCAAGUAUGCUACUCUCUAUACACGUAUCAUGUAGCUACUUAGAUCUUAUACGACGAUUCCAUUCUUAUGAGAAUGUCACGAGAAUCCGGCUUCUAUCAAUCAUUUGAUAACGUUUCUAUUCGUAUCUUAGAAUGUUUUGAUACAAUGUCUAUCAGAGAGUUUCAAACUAUCAACUCGAUUGUUUUAAUGAAGUUAGCUCUGCAUUCAAACGCUGACUUCAUUUUCUAAUUAAUAACUAACAGAUAGUUUGAUUGAAGCUUAUUUUAUGGUAUAUUUAAGCAUUGUGAAUAAUAUUCAUCAAGCAAUAAUUAUUGAGAAUGAGUGAAAAAUUCAUCUAAUUUUAGAAAUGUGUUAUAGGACACAAAUUCAACUCGUAACAAAUUCUUCGAAGACAGAGGUGAAAAUAAUAUUAUUAAUACUGUACUAUGAAAAAAUGUAUGUGAUUUUUCUUCGAACAAAAUUAACUUUUGAAACUUUGAAUACGUUUUUCUACAAAUCUAAUAACUUAUUCAUCUCAUUUUGCCUGAAAACUAAAAAAAUGGUCAUCAAUUUUGUUAAAUGUUGCACAAGUUAAGGUCAACUAUUUUGAAACUUAUUCAGUAUAGUGCUAAUCCUAAAUCGAAAAAUCAACUAGUAAUUCCUGCGUUUUUCAGCUCGCAUGGAAUUACAUUCCAGAAGAGGUCUUCGUCUAUCAUAAUUUACAGAUUCGAUGAAGUUCAGUUAAGUUGGAUUAGGGUUGAGUGUGGGGGGUGUAUCAAUAUAGCACACUCCACCUUAAACGACUAUUCGGCAGAGUAUAGCGUGUGCCAACUCAUCAAACAGCCGCAUGGAGUUGAUUACAUCUAAUCCCUUAUCCCUUGUCUUCAAACCACCUGAAUUUUCUACCAUUCUUUCAUCCUCAGCUUUGUAUCUUAAUAUCAAAAUUUAUACUCACAUGAUAACUGAAGAGAAGAAAAACUUGAAAGAUAUAUGGAUUCAAGAAGUGUAAAAAUAGCAAAAAUCCCUAUUAGAUCAAUAAUGAGAUAGAUUUCGGAGAUUAGAUUCAAAUGAUUUUUUUCGCACUACAGCCGAAUAUGAGCUUUGGCCGCCUCUAUUACAGCUCUCUACUCGUCUUGGCCCUCUGUCAUUCGUUUCCAUCCUCUACAUCCCAUUUUUGGUGAUUGUCUCUUCCUUCUUCGUCCCACCUUAUUCUUGGUCUUCAUCUCUUUCUUCUUGAAUGUAUCCUCUCCUUAAAUAUUAUUCUAGACAUUCUGUUCUCAUUCAUACUACAGAUAUGUCCAAGCCGUUACUUCUUUAUAAAUUUUACAAUAUUUCGGCCUUUUUUCGGCGUUGACCUCUAAAUUGGUUCUUCUUCAACACUCCUCUCCUUCUUUAACAGGACCAUGAAUCUUUCUCAGAAUUUUCCUUUCAAAAACGCCUAAAUUAUUCUUGUCUUCUUUUGUUAACGUCCAAGAUUCACAGCCGUACGUUACAACAGGUCGAAUCAGGCUUUCAUAUAUUUUUAGUUUUUUAUUUCUACAUAUAUGAGCCUGUUCUUCAGAAGUUCCAAGUUACUGAAGUAUGCUCUAUUUCUAGCCAAUACUCUUUGCUUUAUGCUGUAACUCAUCUUGUUUUCGUUAUUUAAUUAAACCCCCAAGUAACUGAAGUUCCUUACACCUUGAAAGAUUUUCUGACCAAUUCUGAGAUUUUGUGGAACUCUUCUUGCGUGACUGCUUGAUUUCUUCAUUUACCUCGAUUUACUAUCAUUUACUAUCAACUCAAUA